Molecule: long non-coding RNA, 93 nt
Organism: Maniola jurtina (meadow brown)
Lineage: Eukaryota; Metazoa; Arthropoda; Insecta; Lepidoptera; Nymphalidae
Exons: 3
Source: RefSeq, a predicted model, not a curated record
ACUUAACUAAUUUAGAUAUUUACAUAGGUUCUUAACACCCUUAAGUCUUGUCGACUUGUCUAGGCGCUGCACAUUCCUCUAGGUAUAUAAAAA